UCUCCCCUAAUUUUUUUCAUAAUUCUCAUAAUUUUCUAUAAAUAUUUUUGUUUUUAUAUUUGAUAUUUAUUCUGGAUCGUGAUCGGCACGAUUGAUCUAUGUCGGAUAGCAUGCCGUUCCACCAAGUGGAUGAUCUAAUCAAUAAAUGCACUGAAAACUGAUUACAAUUAUAGAGCCAGUCAUUUUCUGGGCCGGUGGACU
This 201-nucleotide long non-coding RNA is filed under the name Elaeis guineensis (African oil palm). Its description in RNAcentral is "long non-coding RNA (EGUI_LNC027442)". The record is from RNAcentral. Lineage: Eukaryota; Viridiplantae; Streptophyta; Magnoliopsida; Arecales; Arecaceae.